RNAcentral lists this transfer RNA (72 nucleotides) under Heterocephalus glaber (naked mole-rat). It matches the Rfam family "tRNA". Rfam says of the family: Transfer RNA (tRNA) molecules are approximately 80 nucleotides in length. Their secondary structure includes four short double-helical elements and three loops (D, anti-codon, and T loops). Lineage: Eukaryota; Metazoa; Chordata; Mammalia; Rodentia; Bathyergidae. The record is from Rfam by way of RNAcentral.
GGAGGUAUAGCUCAGAGGUAGAGUGCUUGCUUAACAUGCAGGAGGCCCUAAGUUUGAUUCUCAGCCCUAUCA